Long non-coding RNA from Musa acuminata AAA Group (dessert banana), 1234 nucleotides. RefSeq lists it as uncharacterized. NCBI's taxonomy places the organism in Eukaryota, Viridiplantae, Streptophyta, Magnoliopsida, Zingiberales, Musaceae. The record is from RefSeq and is a predicted model, not a curated record. The transcript is spliced from 2 exons.
CAACUUACUGACCGUCAACGGAGGAGUAACGGCCGCUCGCUCGAUGGCAGGAAAAAGGAUGCCAACCUACUCUGAAGCACGCGGCCCACGUGCCGUUAACGGGAGAGUAUCGACCUGAUGGGAAAGAAGGAAGCGACGCCCAAAACGGAAAAGACAUUGACCUACCUACCUCACCUACUCGGAGGCACGCGGCCCACGUUUUCUUACCAACAGAUUCACCGGUCGGUAAGAGACAGCACAGCACGCGAAGUAUUUCUAACAAAGCAUAAAAAAAAAAGCGGAAGUUUGUGCUAAUUUCGUAAAAAGAUCUUUAAAAUUUAGGAUUUCUUAAGGCGUCUCAAGUUUAAAAAAAUUUCAUAAAACAACUUUAAUUGCAUGCAAAAGAUAAUUUUAUCCUCAUCAUUGUGAAAAAUUCAUACUCCAACCUUUUAGUCUCCUCUCCGCCUUUUGUUAUUUUGAAAAAAAAAAGUGAAAAUUUUUUAAACUUGCAAUCAUAUUUGGAUAAUUCUGAAAAUUAGGGUUUUUUCCUAAAAUUCUCACCGUAAGUUUAGAGUAAUACAUUAGAUAAGGACGUAUCCUCCAAGAAACAGCAUCGUUUGUCCCUUACAUCCUCUCCCAACCUUCUCCUCCUAUGUGCGUUCGCGAUAGUCCGGAGGCAAAGAGAAACCCACCUCGAAUCCGCUUAAGUCUCUCGAGAGGCUGAAGAUACUUGUUGCACAUGGAUGCUAUAUUAUCCGAGAAAGAGGUUUCUCCAGAGCUCAUACGGGAGUCACUGAUGGCAAUCUCUCAAUGUGUUCCAGAUGUGAUCACUACAGAAGGGUCGUCUGUUAACACAGCUAACACUCCUGUUGCUGAUCAAGAUGGCGGUGGUGGUACGGCAGAAGAGUAUCGAUCCAAGCUCAUCUCAAUCUCCAACUUACAAUCACCAAAUGCCCAACCUUCACCGACCUCAGUGGACAAUCUUGGUGCAUAGAAAGGUUGGAUUCCUGCUUGCAGCUUUCGACGAUUUAAUAUGUGGAAUAGUUUAAUUGCUGAACGAUGUUGCUGCUGCUAACUUAAUCGGCAAAAUACUCUUUUAACUGUGCGGUUAUCAUUUGGUAAGGAUCUAAAAACUUGUGUUACUCAAAACUUGGUUUCUUGUUUGGUUUCUCUCUAGUGCAUCGCUCUCCUUAAACAAGUCAAGAAUAUUUUAUCAAACUUCAUAUAAAAGCAUGACAUGUUUGCCACUGAUUUA